This 814-nucleotide long non-coding RNA is filed under the name Nicotiana benthamiana. Its description in RNAcentral is "long non-coding RNA (NBEN_LNC004789)". Lineage: Eukaryota; Viridiplantae; Streptophyta; Magnoliopsida; Solanales; Solanaceae. The record is from RNAcentral.
AGCGAGAUACGUUGAAAUAUAAUUAAAAAAGACAUUGAAUACAAUGAAAUAUAUGGAAUACAGCGAGAUAUUUAGAUUACAAUGAAAAAAUAGACAAUAAAAGACAUAAAAAUACAGUGUGAUACAUUGAAAAUACAUUAACAGAACCAAGUUGUCCAGCCCCAAAUUGAAUUUCUGAACAUGCUCGAUAACCUUCCAGUUUUAUCAUCAACAAAUUGAAUUCUCGUAUAUUGCGACAGCUUUCCUUAAAGAUCAAGUUCAACCUUAACCCUAGCUAUGCUAGGUCUAGACCUUUCUUGCGUGGCCUUAUCAAUAGCAAUGGGCUUACCUGUUGUGACGGAGAUUAAACGUUAUGGGAGUGGGAAGGUACUGGGACUACGGCUUCACCGUCUACUUCCAUUUUUGUUUAGAGGAGAAAGAGGAGAAAGAUGAGAGAAGUUAUUUAGAAAACUGAAAGUUCAAAUAUGAAAUAGCCAUUAUCUUGUUAUUCUUCUUCUCAUAAAUCUAUUGAAAGAACGCUCUGUUAAUGGGGAAGUAUAUAUAAGAAAGAUGAAUUGAGAUGGUUGGAUGUUAACUUGAUGGAAAGGAAAGUGCAUCCAUGGCAGCCUAUACUACAUCAUGUCGCCCUAGAGAGAAAGGAGGGAAGAGAUAGCGCGGGUUUUUUUGCUAAUGGUAGGUGAUGUGUGUUAGAGAAAAUUUGAGAUUAAGCAUCAUGUUUUUAGGAAAUGGGGGAAGAGAAUGGCAUGUGUUAAAAUAAAGAGAAAAAGAAAAUAGUUUAACUGAAUAGCGUAUUUAGUGGCUUAGAGAUAGAAGG